RNAcentral lists this small RNA (611 nucleotides) under Histoplasma ohiense. RNAcentral describes it as "hypothetical lncRNA". The record is from RNAcentral. Lineage: Eukaryota; Fungi; Ascomycota; Eurotiomycetes; Onygenales; Ajellomycetaceae.
UGCACCGCAAGCCUCCAUGGCCAGAAAAAGAAAAGAAAAGAAAAGAAAAGAAAAGAGAGAACCUUCCAAAAAGUGCAACUACAACGAUGCAACGGUAUAUUCCCGCGUGAGCAGCACUCUCUUGGCUCGAUUCGCAUCUGCGAGUUCAUACGGCUUUGGGCAUCACCACCGAUUAGUUCAGGAGCAUUCAUAAUGCCCAUAUUGCACAAGCGUGCCACACUAUCUCUUUUGGUGUGCUUGCGCUCGCAUGGCCAGCGGCCCGUCUCGUUAUUUGCGUGGUGAACGAUGCCACUUUCCACGUCUUCGGAGAUAUAGAUCCUUCAAUGGUAUUCAACUGAAAGAACUGAAAGACUAAAAUGGAUCGCGUUGGGUUCCAUACUGUUGUCCCGGGGCCGAUGAUAUUUUAGGGAGGAGUAGGGAUGGGUAGAAACUCUUAAAAUCCACAGUUGGAAAUGAAUUUAGCAUCGAAGAGGAACAGACCGCAUGCAUUGUUAUAUAGGGAGAGCUGGAGACCAGGCUGGAGAAUUAGAAAAGAUAAACAUCGCAUUUGGGAAGUAGAGCAAACGCAAAGAGGGUUAAUAUAGAUAAUUCUGGAGGGGUUUCAUGACACU